ACUUAGAUGACGAGUCCCAAAUAGGACGAUAUGUACAUCCUGGAU
Molecule: non-coding RNA, 45 nt
Organism: Trichobilharzia regenti
Lineage: Eukaryota; Metazoa; Platyhelminthes; Trematoda; Strigeidida; Schistosomatidae
Source: Rfam